This 599-nucleotide ribosomal RNA is filed under the name Trichophyton mentagrophytes. RNAcentral's name for it is "partial 18S ribosomal RNA". The stretch from base 265 to 418 matches the Rfam family "5.8S ribosomal RNA". The record is from RNAcentral. Lineage: Eukaryota; Fungi; Ascomycota; Eurotiomycetes; Onygenales; Arthrodermataceae.
GAUCAUUAACGCGCAGGCCGGAGGCUGGCCCCCCACGAUAGGGCCAAACGUCCGUCAGGGGUGAGCAGAUGUGCGCCGGCCGUACCGCCCCAUUCUUGUCUACCUUACUCGGUUGCCUCGGCGGGCCGCGCUCUCCCAGGAGAGCCGUUCGGCGAGCCUCUCUUUAGUGGCUAAACGCUGGACCGCGCCCGCCGGAGGACAGACGCAAAAAAAUUCUUUCAGAAGAGCUGUCAGUCUGAGCGUUAGCAAGCAAAAAUCAGUUAAAACUUUCAACAACGGAUCUCUUGGUUCCGGCAUCGAUGAAGAACGCAGCGAAAUGCGAUAAGUAAUGUGAAUUGCAGAAUUCCGUGAAUCAUCGAAUCUUUGAACGCACAUUGCGCCCCCUGGCAUUCCGGGGGGCAUGCCUGUUCGAGCGUCAUUUCAGCCCCUCAAGCCCGGCUUGUGUGAUGGACGACCGUCCGGCGCCCCCGUCUUUGGGGGUGCGGGACGCGCCCGAAAAGCAGUGGCCAGGCCGCGAUUCCGGCUUCCUAGGCGAAUGGGCAACAAACCAGCGCCUCCAGGACCGGCCGCCCUGGCCUCAAAAUCUGUUUUAUACUUAU